GACGAACGCUGGCGGCGUGCUUAACACAUGCAAGUCGAACGGAAAGGCCCUGCUUUUGUGGGGUGCUCGAGUGGCGAACGGGUGAGUAACACGUGAGUAACCUGCCCUUGACUUUGGGAUAACUUCAGGAAACUGGGGCUAAUACCGGAUAGGAGCUCCUGCUGCAUGGUGGGGGUUGGAAAGUUUCGGCGGUUGGGGAUGGACUCGCGGCUUAUCAGCUUGUUGGUGGGGUAGUGGCUUACCAAGGCUUUGACGGGUAGCCGGCCUGAGAGGGUGACCGGCCACAUUGGGACUGAGAUACGGCCCAGACUCCUACGGGAGGGAAGAGGGGGGAAUAUUGCACAAUGGGCGGAAGCCUGAUGCAGCAACGCCGCGUGCGGGAUGACGGCCUUCGGGUUGUAAACCGCUUUCGCCUGUGACGAAGCGUGAGUGACGGUAAUGGGUAAAGAAGCACCGGCUAACUACGUG
Molecule: ribosomal RNA, 468 nt
Filed under: uncultured bacterium
Lineage: Bacteria
Description: partial 16S ribosomal RNA
Rfam family: Bacterial small subunit ribosomal RNA
Source: RNAcentral